Molecule: ribosomal RNA, 1406 nt
Filed under: metagenome
Description: bacterial LSU rRNA
Rfam family: Bacterial large subunit ribosomal RNA
Source: RNAcentral
UUGUGAGGCUGAUGUGUAGGCAAAUCCGCACAUCGAUAAGGCUGGGCUGUGAUGGGGAGCGAAAAUUGCAGUAGCGAAGGUCAUGAGUUCAGGCUGCCAAGAAAAGCCUCUAGCCAGGUGAAGGUGCCCGUACCGCAAACCGACACAGGUAGGCGAGCAGAGUAUGCUAAGGCGCUCGGAAGAACUCUCGUUAAGGAACUCGGCAAAAUGACCCCGUAACUUCGGGAGAAGGGGUGCCUCGGUAGGGUGAAUAGCCCGAGGGGGCCGCAGUGAAAAGGCCCAAGCGACUGUUUAGCAAAAACACAGGUCUGUGCGAAGCCGUAAGGCGAAGUAUACGGGCUGACGCCUGCCCGGUGCUGGAAGGUUAAGGGGAGUGGUUAGCCGCAAGGCGAAGCUAUGAACCGAAGCCCCAGUAAACGGCGGCCGUAACAAUAACGGUCCUAAGGUAGCGAAAUUCCUUGUCAGGUAAAUUCUGACCCGCACGAAUGGCGUAACGACUUGGGCGCUGUCUCAACGAGAGAUCCGGUGAAAUUUUAAUACCUGUGAAGAUGCAGGUUACCCGCGACAAGACGGAAAGACCCCAUGGAGCUUUACUGCAGCUUGAUAUUGGACUUUGGUACGAUCUGUACAGGAUAGGUGGGAGCCUUGGAAACCGGAGCGCCAGCUUCGGCGGAGGCAUCGUUGGGAUACCACCCUGAUCGUAUCGGAGUUCUAACCUGGUACCGUGAUCCGGUACAGGGACCGUGUCAGGUGGGCAGUUUGACUGGGGCGGUCGCCUCCUAAAAUGUAACGGAGGCGCCCAAAGGUUCCCUCAGAAUGGUUGGAAAUCAUUCGUAGCGUGCAAAGGCAUAAGGGAGCUUGACUGCGAGACCUACAAGUCGAGCAGGGACGAAAGUCGGGCUUAGUGAUCCGGUGGUACCGCAUGGAAGGGCCAUCGCUCAACGGAUAAAAGCUACCCUGGGGAUAACAGGCUUAUCUCCCCCAAGAGUCCACAUCGACGGGGAGGUUUGGCACCUCGAUGUCGGCUCAUCGCAUCCUGGGGCUGAAGUAGGUCCCAAGGGUUGGGCUGUUCGCCCAUUAAAGCGGUACGCGAGCUGGGUUCAGAACGUCGUGAGACAGUUCGGUCCCUAUCUGUCGUGGGCGUAGGAAAUUUGAGAGGAGCUGUCCUUAGUACGAGAGGACCGGGAUGGACGCACCGCUGGUGUACCAGUUGUUCCGCCAGGAGCAUAGCUGGGUAGCUACGUGCGGACGGGAUAAGCGCUGAAAGCAUCUAAGCGUGAAGCCCCCCUCAAGAUGAGAUUUCCCAGUAUGUAAGACCCCUGGAAGACGACCAGGUUGAUAGGUUCGAGGUGGAAGCGCAGCAAUGCGUGGAGCUGACGAAUACUAAUCGGUCGAGGGCUUAUCCU